Panicum virgatum (switchgrass) is the source of this 815-nucleotide long non-coding RNA. RefSeq lists it as uncharacterized. Lineage: Eukaryota; Viridiplantae; Streptophyta; Magnoliopsida; Poales; Poaceae. The record is from RefSeq and is a predicted model, not a curated record. The transcript has 2 exons.
UUCGCCCUUCCUCUCUCGCACUGCUCCGCACCUAAUCCGGCGCCUCCCGACGACUCCGGCGAGCCUCCGCCUCGUCGGUGCCCGGCUUCCCGGCAGCCCGGUGCGAAGCGACCGCUCCUUCGUAGGCCACCGCGUGGUGGAGGAUCGUGGGGCGGUGACGUGGGUGGCGGUAAUGGCAGGGGCGCAGGCGGUGGCCGCGGCGGCGGCCCCGGCCCCGGCCCCGGCCGCCUAGGAUAAGCAGGCGGACCGGCCCCGAAGGCAGGGUGGGGCUGUGGAGGCUGGCCCAGAUACCAGGCGGCUGCCGGCGCAGACAAGGCCAAGGUCUUACAACAGAGCUGAUUGUACAGCCUUUUAUGCAAGGAUACUAGCAGGAUAAUGGAGGAACAUUGAUCACAUGAGAAGGGACUACAUACCUGAUGACCUCAAAUAUCAUGUUGAACAUGGAGAAGUUGAGUGGAUCAUUUCUGAGCCUUCUCCUCUCAGUGAUGCAGGCAACUAUGACAAAGAUGAUAUUACACCCGAGCUGCGAAAAUACUAAGUUCAACAACAACGAUUCAUGUUUGGGUACCACUUUCUCAUCCUCGGUUUUACCAUCUCCAUUUGGUGGUGCAAACGUUGUUAAUGGUGGCAUAUACCUGAAAACAGCAAGUAACUUUUCAGACACGUAUCAUAUACCUGAAAACAGCAUGUAACUUUUCAGACACAUAUCAUCAGGUUCUAAAGCAAGGUGUACUAGUAUGAUAGAGUAGUGCCAAGAACUAACAUCAUGGCGAUGAAUAGUACUAGAACGGCAGGGGAGAUGCUCGAGCAGUCAA